UUAGCUUGGGUGACAUAGAAAUAAUGCCUUUUGAUUCAAUACACUACCAUCACCUUGUCAGAGCUUAAAAAUUUCAGUUCAUCAUGAAACAAUUGGAUUUUAAGUUCUGCUAAUGUAAAAAAUUAUUUGAUGACGUGUAAACGGCCCACAGUCUCUUUUUCCAGCAUGCGCGAGCGGCCAUGUUUAAGGCCAGAGUGAGCACAUGGUGAGCAGCCGAAGCACAGCCGAAGCUCAUUGAAGCAUUUUGGUGAACGGAUGUGGAGGAGCUCGAUGCAGACCUUGCCAUGCAAGUGAUGGAGAUUGCCAUCAUCGGUGAUGGUUGUGCAACCAUCAUUGUUGAGGGAAACAAGAUCCUGCAGGGGAUUGAUGUUGCCAGAUCCUGUGCCUUGCUGAUGGGAGUAAUCUUUGUCAGGAGAACGCAGCCUACAACUUCUGCUGUUUGCACUUUAAAUGAUUUAGUGCUGCUGUUAAGGAUUUAGUGUUAUUCAUAAUUUUAAUAAAUGGUUCUUAUUAAUUUGAA
This is a long non-coding RNA of Acanthochromis polyacanthus (spiny chromis), 520 nucleotides long. RefSeq lists it as uncharacterized. The record is from RefSeq and is a predicted model, not a curated record. The transcript has 2 exons. NCBI's taxonomy places the organism in Eukaryota, Metazoa, Chordata, Actinopteri, Pomacentridae.